UUCCGAUUAGUCUAGUGGUUAGGAUAUCGGCUUGUCAUCGCUCUUCAAGGCAGACUCCGCCGGGGACCGGGGUUCAAUUCCCCGAUCGGAAG
This is a transfer RNA of Verticillium longisporum, 92 nucleotides long. It matches the Rfam family "tRNA". From Rfam's summary of the family: Transfer RNA (tRNA) molecules are approximately 80 nucleotides in length. The record is from Rfam. Lineage: Eukaryota; Fungi; Ascomycota; Sordariomycetes; Glomerellales; Plectosphaerellaceae.